GAUGAAGAACGUAGCGAAAUGCGAUAAGUAAUGUGAAUUGCAGAAUUCAGUGAAUCAUCGAAUCUUUGAACGCACAUUGCGCCCGCCAGUAUUCUGGCGGGCAUGCCUGUUCGAGCGUCAUUACAACCCUCAGGCCCCCGGGCCUGGCGUUGGGGAUCGGCGGAGCCCCCCGUGGGCACACGCCGUCCCCCAAAUGCAGUGGCGGUCCCGCCGCAGCUUCCAUCGCGUAGUAGUUAACACCUCGCGACUGGAGAGCGGCGCGGCCACGCCGUAAAACACCCAACUCUUCUGAAGUUGACCUCGAAUCAGGUAGGAAUACCCGCUGAACUUAAGCAUAUCAAUAAGCGGAGGA
RNAcentral lists this unclassified non-coding RNA (352 nucleotides) under soil metagenome. RNAcentral's name for it is "partial contains 5.8S ribosomal RNA, internal transcribed spacer 2, and large subunit ribosomal RNA". The stretch from base 1 to 120 matches the Rfam family "5.8S ribosomal RNA", at positions 35 to 154 of the family's 154-position model. The record is from RNAcentral.